Molecule: ribosomal RNA, 492 nt
Filed under: uncultured bacterium
Lineage: Bacteria
Description: partial 16S ribosomal RNA
Rfam family: Bacterial small subunit ribosomal RNA
Source: RNAcentral
AGUGAACGCUGGCGGUAGGCCUAACACAUGCAAGUCGAACGGCAGCACAGUAAGAGCUUGCUCUUACGGGUGGCGAGUGGCGGACGGGUGAGGAAUACAUCGGAAUCUACUUUUUCGUGGGGGAUAACGUAGGUAAACUUACGAUAAUACCGCAUACGACCUACGGGUGAAAGCAGGGGAUCUUCGGACCUUGCGCGAUUGAAUGAGCCGAUGUCGGAUUAGCUAGUUGGCGGGGUAAAGGCCCACCAAGGCGACGAUCCGUAGCUGGUCUGAGAGGAUGAUCAGCCACACUGGAACUGAGACACGGUCCAGACUCCUACGGGAGGCAGCAGUGGGGAAUAUUGGACAAUGGGCGCAAGCCUGAUCCAGCCAUACCGCGUGGGUGAAGAAGGCCUUCGGGUUGUAAAGCCCUUUUGUUGGGAAAGAAAAGCAGCAGGUUAAUACCCCGCUGUUCUGACGGUACCCAAAGAAUAAGCACCGGCUAACUUCGUG